RNAcentral lists this ribosomal RNA (253 nucleotides) under uncultured bacterium. RNAcentral's name for it is "partial 16S ribosomal RNA". It matches the Rfam family "Bacterial small subunit ribosomal RNA", at positions 524 to 776 of the family's 1533-position model. The record is from RNAcentral.
UACGAAGGGGGCUAGCGUUGUUCGGAUUUACUGGGCGUAAAGGGCGCGUAGGCGGCUCAUGAAGGCUGUGGUGAAAGUCCGGGGCUCAACCUCGGAUCGGCCGUGGCGACUCGUGGGCUGGAGCACUGUAGAGGCGGGUGGAAUUCCGGGUGUAGCGGUGGAAUGCGUAGAGAUCCGGAAGAACACCAGUGGCGAAGGCGGUUCUCUGGGCCUUACCCGACGCUGAGACGCGAAAGCGUGGGGAGCGAACCGG